CCCUGCCUACCUGAGGUCUUCCGAAGAUUUGUGUAUUGAUCACUGUGGGCAAGUGCACAGCCGAAGUUAUUAAGAUGUUGGGAUCUGCGGUGAAGCCCAGCCACAGAACAGAGAGCCUGCAGCAGUCUUGCGAGAGGGAUGCUGGCAUCAUUUCCACCCUAGCGUUGUUAGAUCACUUGGCAGCUUUUCAUUUCGGUGAAGACAGCUUCCUUUUAACUCACCUUUUGUACUCGUUGGCUUUUCCUGUAAGCACCUGCUCAGUUAUGCGUUGGACUAGAUGAUCUUAGUGGUCUACUCGAGCCGUAAUAAUUCUGUAAUUCUGUGUUCUAGGUCUACUGGAUUUUGGACUUAUGCGUGUAUAUCUAGUAUAGGUACGUCUGACUGUAAAACUAUCUCAGUAAAAAGUAAAAGGAACAUGUAGACUCCAGGCACUGAGCUGAUGCUGGUAUGUUUUUCCAGUGCAUUAGGGGAACAGUAUGUGCCACUGUCCUGACUUCUCACUAUUGGGUCUGGCAUGUCAGAGAGGGGUGUCUGUUUUCCUUUUGCUCCAUUUUAUGGCUGGAGGUCACCUGCUCCAUCAGGAUUCUGGCUGUGUAGCCUCCACUUAUUGCUUUGCGUUAGGAUUUUUUUGCCUUCUCACUUACCAGCUGCUGUCUACCUACUGUGCUGCUGCUUUUCAUUGAGGUGACCCCCUUUCCCCCCCACCCCCAGCAAUGCUUUGCGAGUCAGUGUGGAUUUAUAUCAGUGUGAUUAAAGUGGGCUCAUAAUAACAUCAGGAGAGAAGUGGUGACCAAACCGUUUGGCUUGCAGCAUAGGGUGGCUGUGCUGUGGGGAAUGCAUCCUGGCCUUCAGGGAGGAUUUCCAUCAACAGUGGGACUACAGAGGGCAGAGUGGCUUGCACAAUGUAAUCAUUUUAAUUGGAAUUAACGGGGGAAAUAACUUCCUCUUACAUUAGGGAUAAGGUGGAUGCAGUGUCAGAGUGUUUUUUGAAUGAGCUCCACUGAAGGCAUAGGUACAGCAGUACGUAGUCAGCCUGCUUUAAUGAGAUUUGACUGUAAUUCUACAAUGAAAUUAUUUUUCAGUUAAAGUAGAUCACAAAAAAUGUAUUUUGCUCUAUUAAGGCAUAUAUGAGACUCAAAAAGCUCAUUCACAUUAUUUGUGAAGUAAAAACUAACAGAAAUGAUGUCAUUUUGAGAUAUUUCCAUUCACCAAAUGGAUGCUGGAGAACAAAUGCCACUUGUAAUGCAUCUUCCACAUAGACCAGGAUGUGAUAAUUCAUGGAUUGUUUUUCCAAAUAGUUAUUGAACUUAGAAAAAAAGUGAUGCAGAUUUGCAGAACAUUGAGAUUAUUAGACUCAGAAAGCAAUCUUCAGCUGAGAUACUAUGAGCUGUUUCAGCAAAGCUUGAAGGUGGUGAAUAAUAGUGACCACAUAGGUGAGCAGAAGGAGUUGUGCUGGAUCUGGAAGACUCCAGCAGUGCAGUAGGCAGCUGGAACAGUGCAUGGGAAGAACAGGGCAGCUUUAGGGGACUGGAGUUAUAGAAACAUCGAUUGCACAAAAAGUUGUUCUAUUAAGUGGAUGUUAGAGA
Molecule: long non-coding RNA, 1586 nt
Organism: Numida meleagris (helmeted guineafowl)
Lineage: Eukaryota; Metazoa; Chordata; Aves; Galliformes; Numididae
Exons: 3
Source: RefSeq, a predicted model, not a curated record